Coregonus clupeaformis (lake whitefish) is the source of this 391-nucleotide long non-coding RNA. RefSeq lists it as uncharacterized. The transcript is spliced from 3 exons. Lineage: Eukaryota; Metazoa; Chordata; Actinopteri; Salmoniformes; Salmonidae. The record is from RefSeq and is a predicted model, not a curated record.
AAUAAAAUUGAGAGUGUCCAAAAGAAAGAUGGGAAUGACAAAGUAACAGCGCCAAAGACAGAGGCAGAGCUCCUUAUGGACAAAUUUGAGAGGAUGGCAGAAGAGGAGAGAAUUUGGCCUUGUCAGAAGGAUAGGAGAGAUAAAGACCAGGCCAAAGAGAUAGAGGGAAAAAGAAAGGAUAAGGAGGUGCUGUCUAAAGAAGAGCAGCGCAGGCUGAGGAAUGAGAAGGCCUUACAGGAACACCUGGACAGGGUAAAGAAUCCGGAAUUGACAGGCAAACAGACCAGACAACCACAAUGUAAAGAUUACUCUAUUUUCACUGCAUCAGGGCUAAAGAGCAAGGACCCGCAUGAUCAACAGUCAGCAAAAUGCAAAGAUUUCUCUGUGUUUU